GGAUUGUUAGCUCAGCUGGGAGAGCACCGCCCGCUUUUUACAAAAACACGGUUGCCACUGGUUCGAACCCAGUACAAUCCACCA
Molecule: transfer RNA, 84 nt
Filed under: Alishewanella agri
Lineage: Bacteria; Pseudomonadati; Pseudomonadota; Gammaproteobacteria; Alteromonadales; Alteromonadaceae
Also listed under: 1 other name
Description: tRNA-Cys
Rfam family: tRNA
About the family: Transfer RNA (tRNA) molecules are approximately 80 nucleotides in length. Their secondary structure includes four short double-helical elements and three loops (D, anti-codon, and T loops). Further hydrogen bonds mediate the characteristic L-shaped molecular structure. tRNAs have two regions of fundamental functional importance: the anti-codon, which is responsible for specific mRNA codon recognition, and the 3' end, to which the tRNAs corresponding amino acid is attached (by aminoacyl-tRNA synthetases). tRNAs cope with the degeneracy of the genetic code in two manners: having more than one tRNA (with a specific anti-codon) for a particular amino acid; and 'wobble' base-pairing, i.e. permitting non-standard base-pairing at the 3rd anti-codon position.
Source: RNAcentral